AGGGUUUGAUUAUGGCUCAGAACGUACGCUAGCGGUGUGGAUUAGGCAUGCAAGUCGUGCGCGAAAGCCUUCGGGCGAGUAAAGCGGCGAAAGGGUGAGUAACACGUAACCAACGUACCCCUCAGAUCGGAAUAACCUCUGGAAACGGUGGGUAAUGCCGAAUGGUCCCAGGAGAGACAUCUCUCCGAGGGUAAACGGUGCCUUCGGGUGCUGCUGAGGGAGCGGGUUGCGGCCUAUCAGUUUGUUGGUGGGGUAACGGCCUACCAAGACGAUGACGGGUAGCGGGUCUGAGAGGAUGAUCCGUCACACUGGGACUGAGACACUGCCCAGACUCCUACGGGAGGCUGCAGUCGAGAAUCUUCCACAAUGGGCGAAAGCCUGAUGGAGCGACACCGCGUGCAGGAUGAAGGCCUUAGGGUUGUAAACUGCUGUCACGCUAUAGGAACCCAUGGUCGUUAAUAGCGGCCGUGCUGACCAAAGCGAGAGGAAGCGCCGGCUAACUCCGUGCCAGCAGCCGCGGUAAUACGGAGGGCGCAAGCGUAGUUCGGAUUUACUGGGCAUAAAGAGCACGUAGGCGGCUCGCUCAGUCAGGUGUGAAAGCCCACGGCUCAACCGUGGAACUGCACCUGAUACUGGCGAGCUUGAGGACGGAAGGGGUGAGUGGAACUCCAGGUGGAACGGUGAAAUGUAUAGAUAUCUGGAGGAACACCGGUGGCGAAAGCGGCUCACUGGUCCGUCUCUGACGCUGAGGUGCGAAAGCUAGGGUAGCGAACGGGAUUAGAUACCCCGGUAGUCCUAGCCGUAAACGAUGGGCACUAGGCAAUGGGCCCUCCUAUGAGGUUCAUUGCCGGAGCUAAUGUGUUAAGUGCCCCGCCUGGGGAGUACGCUCGC
RNAcentral lists this ribosomal RNA (891 nucleotides) under uncultured bacterium. RNAcentral describes it as "bacterial SSU rRNA". It matches the Rfam family "Bacterial small subunit ribosomal RNA", at positions 8 to 889 of the family's 1533-position model. The record is from RNAcentral.